This 253-nucleotide ribosomal RNA is filed under the name uncultured bacterium. Its description in RNAcentral is "partial 16S ribosomal RNA". It matches the Rfam family "Bacterial small subunit ribosomal RNA", at positions 524 to 776 of the family's 1533-position model. The record is from RNAcentral.
UACGUAGGUGGCAAGCGUUGUCCGGAUUUACUGGGCGUAAAGAGCGCGCAGGCGGUCGUUCAAGUCGAGUGUGAAAGCCCCCGGCUCAACUGGGGAGGGUCAUUCGAUACUGAUCGACUCGAAGGCAGGAGAGGGAAGUGGAAUUCCCGGUGUAGUGGUGAAAUGCGUAGAGAUCCGGAGGAACACCAGCGGCGAAGGCGGCGUCCUGGACUGGGCCUGACGCUCAGGAGCGAAAGCGUGGGGAGCGAUCCGG